UAAGAAAGAAAGGUGGGGCAGGAAAGAAAAAUCAAAUGAGUUCAGGACUUUACCAGUUAUUUUCAAAUAGUCAAGGUACAGAAAGCAAAGAAGCAGUUUUCUUGACAUGAAACCCGCCACCCUACCUCACCCACAUUAUUUGCUGCAUUUCUAUCAGCAAAAUAUUCAGCAAUGUACUCAUUGUGUGUUCCGUUUGUUGCUUAAUUACACAAGGUAUUUUAAAUCCUAGAAAGUGCCAUCCAUACAUUUACAUACAUUUAAAGAAUGCCACCACUGUGCAUGAAUAAUGGACUCAUACCGAAGCCAAGCACUGAGGCAAGACCUGGUGUCAACUCCCUGUUUAACUUCACUUGACCCUGGACUUCCACAAUCAUCAGGUGAAGAAUAUUUUGUUUCAUUACCUGAGUUUGGUGAUUAGCAAGAGUGUCUGAGACACGAAGGCCCUCUUGCCUGUCCAUCAAGUAAAACGUCAGGAACUGCACUUGAGCAAGCCAAUCAAUGACAAGAACAGACCAAGGAAAUAAGGAUCUUUGUUCUUGAGAUUGGCAGAAUUGAGAAACAGCUCAGAGGCUGGGCAUUAGGAUCUGUGAUAUUUGACCACACACCUUCACCUGUGAGAAGGCGCCUACCUGUCUGCAGUUAACCAUCUCCAAAUAAACCAUCUGUCCCCAAAUCAGCCUCCAGGGCAGAUGGCCCUUUAGGACAAGAUGGUCCUCUAUUCUCCAAUCAGAUAGCUCAUGGUAAGAAAGUUCCUUCUCUGCCAUGUUUUUGCCUCUGGAUUGAUUGACUUCUGUCUUUCUGUGAGCUGAGUGGGC
This 815-nucleotide long non-coding RNA is filed under the name Marmota monax (woodchuck). The record is from RNAcentral. Lineage: Eukaryota; Metazoa; Chordata; Mammalia; Rodentia; Sciuridae.